AGUGAACGCUGGCGGUAGGCCUAACACAUGCAAGUCGAACGGCAGCACAGUAAGAGCUUGCUCUUACGGGUGGCGAGUGGCGGACGGGUGAGGAAUACAUCGGAAUCUACUUUUUCGUGGGGGAUAACGUAGGGAAACUUACGCUAAUACCGCAUACGACCUACGGGUGAAAGCAGGGGAUCUUCGGACCUUGCGCGAUUGAAUGAGCCGAUGUCGGAUUAGCUAGUUGGCGGGGUAAAGGCCCACCAAGGUGACGAUCCGUAGCUGGUCUGAGAGGAUGAUCAGCCACACUGGAACUGAGACACGGUCCAGACUCCUACGGGAGGCAGCAGUGGGGAAUAUUGGACAAUGGGCGCAAGCCUGAUCCAGCCAUACCGCGUGGGUGAAGAAGGCCUUCGGGUUGUAAAGCCCUUUUGUUGGGAAAGAAAAGCAGCAGGUUAAUAACCCGCUGUUCUGACGGUACCCAAAGAAUAAGCACCGGCUAACUUCGUG
RNAcentral lists this ribosomal RNA (492 nucleotides) under uncultured bacterium. RNAcentral describes it as "partial 16S ribosomal RNA". It matches the Rfam family "Bacterial small subunit ribosomal RNA", at positions 29 to 507 of the family's 1533-position model. The record is from RNAcentral.